GACGAACGCUGGCGGCGUGCUUAACACAUGCAAGUCGAACGGAAAGGCCCUGCUUUUGUGGGGUGCUCGAGUGGCGAACGGGUGAGUAACAAGUGAGUAACCUGCCCUUGACUUUGGGAUAACUUCAGGAAACUGGGGCUAAUAACGGAUAGGAGCUCCUGCUGAAUGGUGGGGGUUGGAAAGUUUCGGCGGUUGGGGAUGGACUCGCGGCUUAUCAGCUUGUUGGUGGGGUAGUGGCUUACCAAGGCUUUGACGGGUAGCCGGCCUGAGAGGGUGACCGGCCACAUUGGGACUGAGAUACGGCCCAGACGCCUACGGGAGGCAGCAGUGGGGAAUAUUGCACAAUGGGCGGAAGCCUGAUGCAGCAACGCCGCGUGCGGGAUGACGGCCUUCGGGUUGUAAACCGCUUUCGCCUGUGACGAAGCGUGAGUGACGGUAAUGGGUAAAGAAGCACCGGCUAACUACGUG
Molecule: ribosomal RNA, 468 nt
Filed under: uncultured bacterium
Lineage: Bacteria
Description: partial 16S ribosomal RNA
Rfam family: Bacterial small subunit ribosomal RNA
Source: RNAcentral